UAGGGUGACCAGAUGUCCCGAUUUUAUAGGUACAGUCCCGAUAUUCUGGGCUUUUUCUUGUAUAAGCACUUAUUACCCUCCACCUCCUGUCCUGAUUUUUCACACUUUCUAUCUGGUCACUCUAAUAAAGAAGCAGCAGCAG
This is a long non-coding RNA of Chelonia mydas (Green sea turtle), 142 nucleotides long. RefSeq lists it as uncharacterized. The transcript has 3 exons. The record is from RefSeq and is a predicted model, not a curated record. NCBI's taxonomy places the organism in Eukaryota, Metazoa, Chordata, Testudines, Cheloniidae.